Molecule: non-coding RNA, 45 nt
Filed under: Schistosoma curassoni
Lineage: Eukaryota; Metazoa; Platyhelminthes; Trematoda; Strigeidida; Schistosomatidae
Source: RNAcentral
AUCCAUCUGACGAGUCACAAACAGGACGAAACGCGCGUCCUGGAU